CUGGCUUGCUAGUGCAGCUCCCGCUUCCUGGUGCAGUGGUGAUGUGAUGGCAAGCUCUCUCUGUGUGUGAUAGAGUUGAGUGGGAAGUGGCAUUCUUCACUUCAGGAUGAAAAGGAGAGACAAAAGCACGUGACUCUGAAUGGGGUGGAAGAAGCUGAUGAAGUUUGCCAGAAACAAGCACCAGUUUGCGUGUGGGGGUGUCACUGUCCAAAGAUUUGCUAGGAGAAGAAUAUGGCUCUUCCCUCCAAUCCCCAAACUAGACCUUGGACCAUCUCUCCACUGGACCACCAGCUACAAUGUCAACAGCUCCACAACUUGCAAGUCUUGCCAAAGUGUUUUAAAGGAUGAUUUAUUAAAGGAAAAUCUAAAUUAGCAAUUGGAUAUAUUCCACUAUAGGAACUUAAGACCACUCAUUAAUUCUACAACGACUUUCUGAGCACCUACCAGUGGGCCAGGCUGGGGAAAC
Molecule: long non-coding RNA, 466 nt
Filed under: Homo sapiens (human)
Lineage: Eukaryota; Metazoa; Chordata; Mammalia; Primates; Hominidae
Description: non-protein coding lnc-MRPL39-4:3
Source: RNAcentral